This is a long non-coding RNA of Cebus imitator (Panamanian white-faced capuchin), 175 nucleotides long. RefSeq lists it as uncharacterized. NCBI's taxonomy places the organism in Eukaryota, Metazoa, Chordata, Mammalia, Primates, Cebidae. The transcript has 4 exons. The record is from RefSeq and is a predicted model, not a curated record.
GGGAAUGCCUGUAGUCCCAGCUACUUGGGAGGCUGAGGCUGGAGGAUCGCUUGAGCCCAGGAGUUCUGGGCUGUAGUACGCUAUGCCGAUCGGAUGUCCGCACUAAGUUCGGUGUCAAUACGGUGACCUCCCGGGAGUAGGGGACCACCGGGUUGCCGGAGGAGGGGAGCUCUGA